Long non-coding RNA from Bubalus bubalis (water buffalo), 925 nucleotides. RefSeq lists it as uncharacterized. The transcript is spliced from 3 exons. The record is from RefSeq and is a predicted model, not a curated record. Lineage: Eukaryota; Metazoa; Chordata; Mammalia; Artiodactyla; Bovidae.
AUUCAGGAUGGAGCCAGAGAAAAGCGGAGGUUGCUUGCUUUAUUUAUGGCUUCAUUUCCUGUGCAAAAGUCUGGAAGACUAAGGAGGGAUCCCUCUGUACAGCCGUGAAACAGAGACAACGCCUGGCCUGUGGCCAAGUUGGCCAGGGAGGCCAAGGGCCAGCCGACAGUCUAAGAAGUCAGGAAGAGCGGAGCAGGAGGAGGGGACUAUCCCUGCCCUUGGCUGAUGGAUUUUGUGAAUGAAUGUAAGUCUGUGAUCCGUUGAGGGACGUGGCCACCUGUGACUUCUGCUCAGGGCUGCAGUGAGGCCAGGCCCCAAAUGUAGUGGGUGCUCCUGUAGUCCUCGAUUUGGGCCCCUGGAUGCAGUUCUGGGUCUUGGAAAUGAACUGAGAAUGGGUAGGGAGGGGAAUGGGGCUCAAGGAGCCACAGAGGGAAAGCUCACCCCGUGAGGUCACCACUUAUUGCUGUGUCGGGUGCUUGUCUCAUGGAUCUUCUCAAGUCCAAAGGGACGGAGUGAUUUAACCAGAAGGUGGGGAAGGAGAAGGAGAGACAGCCAGCAGAGAGCAGCCUCAGGCUCGGCCGGCUCCUUACUAGCCAGAGGGCUGGUCUCUGCCAGGUGCUGUGGACUGCGCCAAGUCACCUAAAUGGCUACUUGGUUUUCACAUCUCAGAACCCUCAGUCCCGGCCACGGGAGCUGUAGCCCAACAAGUAGGGCAAGAUUAUGCCCUUUGAGGUCCCUUCAUGGUCACUACAGAAGAUGUUGCAGGAGAGGGAAGUGUCACGUCCUGGGACCCACAGAAGUCACUGGGACAGGCCACUGCCAAGUGAGGGUCCUCAGCUUCACGCAGGAAAGAAUUCAAGAUGGAGCCAGAGAAAAGCAGAGAGGCACGUUUACUGAGAGCAAUACAUUCCGUCGGCAGAAUGUG